Molecule: ribosomal RNA, 413 nt
Filed under: Serratia symbiotica
Lineage: Bacteria; Pseudomonadati; Pseudomonadota; Gammaproteobacteria; Enterobacterales; Yersiniaceae
Description: bacterial SSU rRNA
Rfam family: Bacterial small subunit ribosomal RNA
Source: RNAcentral
GGCGGCAGGCCUAACACAUGCAAGUCGAGCGGUAGCACAAGAGAGCUUGCUCUCUGGGUGACGAGCGGCGGACGGGUGAGUAAUGUCUGGGAAACUGCCUGAUGGCGGGGGAUAACUAGUGGAAACGGUAGCUAAUACCGCAUAACGUCGCAAGACCAAAGUGGGGGACCUUCGGGCCUCACGCCAUCAGAUGUGCCCAGGUAGGAUUAGCUGGUAGGUGGGGUAACGGCUCACCUAGGCGACGAUCCCUAGCUGGUCUGAGAGGAUGACCAGCCACACUGGAACUGAGACACGGUCCAGACUCCUACGGGAGGCAGCAGUGGGGAAUAUUGCACAAUGGGCGCAAGCCUGAUGCAGCCAUGCCGCGUGUGUGAAGAAGGCCUUCGGGUUGUAAAGCACUUCAGCGAGGAGAA